RNAcentral lists this ribosomal RNA (466 nucleotides) under uncultured bacterium. RNAcentral describes it as "partial 16S ribosomal RNA". It matches the Rfam family "Bacterial small subunit ribosomal RNA", at positions 28 to 505 of the family's 1533-position model. The record is from RNAcentral.
GACGAACGCUGGCGGCGUGCUUAACACAUGCAAGUCGAACGGAAAGGCCCUGCUUUUGUGGGGUGCUCGAGUGGCGAACGGGUGAGUAACACGUGAGUAACCUGCCCUUGACUUUGGGAUAACUUCAGGAAACUGGGGCUAAUACCGGAUAGGAGCUCCUGCUGCAUGGUGGGGGUUGGAAAGUUUCGGCGGUUGGGGAUGGACUCGCGGCUUAUCAGCUUGUUGGUGGGGUAGUGGCUUACCAAGGCUUUGACGGGUAGCCGGCCUGAGAGGGUGACCGGCCACAGUGGGACUGAGAGACGGCCCAGACUCCUACGGGAGGCAGCAGUGGGGAAUAUUGCACAAUGGGCGGAAGCCUGAUGCAGCAACGCCGCGUGCGGGAUGACGGCCUUCGGGUUGUAAACCGCUUUCGCCUGUGACGAAGCGUGAGUGACGGUAAUGGGUAAAGAAGCACCGGCUAACUACG